Molecule: transfer RNA, 83 nt
Filed under: Bacteriophage sp.
Description: tRNA-Leu
Rfam family: tRNA
About the family: Transfer RNA (tRNA) molecules are approximately 80 nucleotides in length. Their secondary structure includes four short double-helical elements and three loops (D, anti-codon, and T loops). Further hydrogen bonds mediate the characteristic L-shaped molecular structure. tRNAs have two regions of fundamental functional importance: the anti-codon, which is responsible for specific mRNA codon recognition, and the 3' end, to which the tRNAs corresponding amino acid is attached (by aminoacyl-tRNA synthetases). tRNAs cope with the degeneracy of the genetic code in two manners: having more than one tRNA (with a specific anti-codon) for a particular amino acid; and 'wobble' base-pairing, i.e. permitting non-standard base-pairing at the 3rd anti-codon position.
Source: RNAcentral
GCUACCAUGGCGAAAUAGGCAGUACGCUUCGGUCUUAAAAACCGAUGUCGAAAGACGUGCGGGUUCGACCCCCGCUGGUAGCA